GAUGAACGCUGGCGGCGUGCCUAAUACAUGCAAGUCGAGCGAACAGACGAGGAGCUUGCUCCUCUGACGUUAGCGGCGGACGGGUGAGUAACACGUGGAUAACCUACCUAUAAGACUGGGAUAACUUCGGGAAACCGGAGCUAAUACCGGAUAAUAUAUUGAACCGCAUGGUUCAAUAGUGAAAGACGGUUUUGCUGUCACUUAUAGAUGGAUCCGCGCCGCAUUAGCUAGUUGGUAAGGUAACGGCUUACCAAGGCAACGAAGCGUAGCCGACCUGAGAGGGUGAUCGGCACCACUGGAACUGGGACACGGUCCAGACUCCUACGGGAGGCAGCAGAAGGGAAUCUUCCGCAAUGGGCGAAAGCCUGACGGAGCAACGCCGCGUGAGUGAUGAAGGUCUUCGGAUCGUAAAACUCUGUUAUUAGGGAAGAACAAAUGUGUAAGUAACUAUGCACGUCUUGACGGUACCUAAUCAGAAAGCCACGGCUAACUACGUG
This 497-nucleotide ribosomal RNA is filed under the name uncultured bacterium. RNAcentral's name for it is "partial 16S ribosomal RNA". It matches the Rfam family "Bacterial small subunit ribosomal RNA", at positions 28 to 507 of the family's 1533-position model. The record is from RNAcentral.